AUGACAAUCUUCGAAGCUCAGUGGCUUAGAAGAAAAACGAGUUUGAUCGUCAUAUAAAAAAAUUGGGAAUUUAAGCAUAAGACUCAUAUUCUUACAUGAAUUGAUUAUUGAAUUAAACUACUUCACCUAAUAAAAUUCAUUAACAUAAAUACUAAUCUCAUAAAUAUAUAUGUUCACAAUAUUAUCAUUAAUGGUAAUUAUCAUUUAGAUCCUUCUAUAUGCAAGUUACAAUUAUCCCAACCAACUUUGUCCCAAUUGGGUUUCUCUCAAAAUACUGCUUUGAAAGAUGGUUGACCUCUCUUUCUUUGGUGAAUCAACGGUUUGAUCCUUCUUUACUCCAAACAAUGUUGAUCGUCGUCCCCCACCGUUUGGUUCUACAAUGUGAAUGUUCUGAAAUCUUAUUGCUUUUGAAAGUCUGAGACCCUUUGGUUCUCUUGGUUUUUCCUUCACUAUUCAUCCUUCUCUUUACCGUCUUACUCUACGUUUGGUCGUAUGUAGCCUCGUGAAAAAUACAACCUUUUUUGGAUCAUUAAAUUUCUUGUUCAUAUCCUCUUCAUCAUUUUGUUUAGAAAA
RNAcentral lists this small RNA (573 nucleotides) under Arabidopsis thaliana (thale cress). RNAcentral describes it as "ATSL192930". Lineage: Eukaryota; Viridiplantae; Streptophyta; Magnoliopsida; Brassicales; Brassicaceae. The record is from RNAcentral.